RNAcentral lists this ribosomal RNA (465 nucleotides) under uncultured bacterium. RNAcentral describes it as "partial 16S ribosomal RNA". It matches the Rfam family "Bacterial small subunit ribosomal RNA", at positions 28 to 507 of the family's 1533-position model. The record is from RNAcentral.
GACGAACGCUGGCGGCGUGCUUAACACAUGCAAGUCGAACGGAAAGGCCCCUUUGGGGGUUCUCUUGUGGCGAACGGGUGGGUAACACGUUAGUAACCUGCCCUCUACUUCGUGAUAACUUCAGACAACUGGGGCCAAUACCUGAUAGGAAUCCUUGCUGCAUGGUGGGGGUUGGAAAGCUUCGGCGGUUUUGGCUGGACUCGCGGCCUGUCAGCUUGUUGGUGGGGUAGUGGCUUACCAAGGCUUUGACGGGUAGCCGGCCCGAGAGGGCGACCGGCCACAUUGGGACUGAGAGACGGCCCAGACUCCUAAGGGAGGCAGAAGGGGGGAAAAUUGCACAAUGGGCGGAAGCCUGAUGCAAGAACGCCGCGUGCGGGAAGACGGCCUUCGGGUUGGAAAACGGGUUCAGCAGGGGCGAAGCUUGUGGUGACGGUACCUGGAGAAGAAGCACCGGCUAAAUACGUG